CCCACGUCCUGCUCCGCUCCCCUGUGACCUUCUCACCUGGGCAGCUGCCUGCAGUGUAACCCGCGCAGAUGGCUUUCCUCUGGAUUAUGAGCCUGUUGCUGGGAUUCUGCACAACAGAGGAGGACCGGUGAGUUGACAGUGCAAAGAAGAAUCUGGAAGGAGGGAUGACCGCAAAUAGACACUUUUGUUUCUGUUAUUCUUGGAACGCACUUGAGCACGUGUUGGUGCUGUGGUUUAUGAUUUUCAGAGCACUCUAACUUGCAUUAUCUAGUCUGAUCUUCACAGGAGCUCCGUGGGGUGUACAGGGAAUAUUAUUCCAAAAUUAGGUGGAAACUAAGGUUCAGAGAGCUUAGAUGCCUUUUCCAAGGUAGUGGCAUAGCUCGGUCUCAAACCCAGGUCAGGUCUCCUGGUCUUCUCAGGUACUGGUGGGAAUCCAAGACAUGUUCAACAGACUACUGGAUGUGUGGGUUUGGGUCACAAGAGAGAGACCUUGGCUACAGAUAGAGAUAUGAGCAUCAUCGGUGAAUAUCUUUUUGCUUUUCUGAUAAGAGGGCAUAUAUGCAGCUGCAUCUGGCUUUACCCACUUACCCCUCUCCUACCUUAAAGGCAGAUGUGAUGUCUGGGGCUGCAGCAGCCAUUUUGUUACCAUGAACUGACAGUAAUGUGAAAGCCAACCCACUAAGGAUGGGAGUAUGGAAGUAUAGAAAGUGCCAGAAUUGUUGAGCAAUUGGAACAAUGCUUUCAACUGCUUACAUCUGGAUUUAUCAUUAUGUGAGAAAAACAGGCCCUAUUCGUUUAAGCCACUAUAGUCAGAUUUUCUUUACUUGAUGAUACAUGGGGGGGACAUGAUGUCAAGAGCUGUGGCAUGAGGUGGCCACAUGAGGAAAAAAGCCAACACACUGAGAAAUAUAUAAAGUGCUGAAAGAACAAAGGAGCUGGUUCCUUCUGUCCACCUAUGACCGGAUGUGUGUGAAGUUAGCAAGAAUUGUCCUCAGGUGCUGUGAGAAGCCUCACAGCGGUGAGCUGUCUACUAUUUAAAGGUCAGAUCAUUCCUAACUGUUACACCCUUCUUCACGCUGAGUAGGAUGCUACACUGAUUUACAAACUUCCUUCUGAUGCUCGACUCCACCUGUGUCUGCGGCUGCCGUCCUGGGAACGACUGUGCCACCAGGCCUCGCUGUCACGUCCCCCUGUCCUGCGUCCAGGGUUCCCACCUGCAGCUGGCUGGCAGCCGUGUGCUGAGCUGUGUGGCGAUCUGUGACAGAGCAGGGGAAGUGCCUUCCCCCUUCCGGGACACCGUGGAACGGAGGCCCCGAGCAGAGUUGCUUUGCGCUAAUGUGUCGCACAGUGCAGUGGCAGCUUCUAUUUCUUGUUUCUCUUGGAGCCAUCUGUCUGUUUCUGACCCAGAUAAGUGUUCAGGAGGCUGGGCCGUGGGAGGUGUAGAGAGGCAGCUACAGUGCUGGGCUCGGAAUGCCUUCCUCCAACCACAGGCCAGGCUUUAGCUGCUCUUCUUAGGGUGAGCUCUUUUCUGGGAGCUCCUCAGCUUCCCAGAAGGUAGUCGUCUCCCCUGGGCCACCCCAGCAGCUUGUCAGACUGGCUGGCUUCACGUUCGGCUUGGCUUCUCUCUCAGGAAUAGCCCCUGCCUCUUGGAAAACAGGCUUGAUUCAGACGCUCCCAUCAGUCCGCCACACACGCACUCCUGGGCCAUCAGAGACCCUUGCGGCUGCAGCCCAGGCCCGAUGAGCUUUCCGCUUCACAGGGUAAGAGAAAAGGUCACUUUGGGGACACUCAGCACAAGUUUCAUAUUUCUCCAAAAUUUGGGCCCCCCCUUUCAGCUCCAUUCUCCCGCCCACAGUCAAGCCCGAAUGCAUAAAGCAGCCACGUAUCCAGAACUCCUGCGGCCUCGUGUGCUUAUUGGCAGCACCUGAAUCCCAGAAUAGACAUUUCCCUAUUAAGGAACAGAAACGAUGGAAGGAGAACAAAGCCACCCUUUAUCGGAGCAGAUUGCUUUACCUGAAACAGCCCUCUAACAGACGUGCUCCUGAAGUACCUCUUGAUGAAAUCUGUGAACAUUUGUAGUAUUUUACAUUGCGCUUAAUAAUUUAUUAGUGUUUAAUAUUUCACAGGAGUAAAGCAGAAAACCUGAUAAAAUUUUCAUAUCUGCUAUUAUAAGCUAAGUAGGAUGCGAGCCGCGGCUGGGCGGUACCCAGAGCCCGGAGCCUGGGGUCCGCUCCGUGCGCCCCGAGUGCCCAGGUCACCACAGUAGCCUCUCUGCCCGUUCCCCCAGGGGUCCUGUUACCCUAGACGUCCUGUGCACUUGGGAGAGCCAGAUGCUUGUGGGCGUCGUCAGUUUGGCUGAACAGCCAGACUCGUUCAUGGUGUGGUUUGACUAGAGCCAAAUGUCUCUCCCAGCCCCUAAAUUUUCCUCACUGGUCUAUUUUUCAUGCCAUUACGGAUUCCUUUCCUUGUGAGAGAACCAACACCUAUGGGAAGCUGAGCUUAUAAUUAGUAACAGCAAAUCCAAUUCACGGUUCUAAGCGUUUCAUAGGAACAAUUCGUUAAUUUCUCACCACCCUCCUAUGAGAUAGAAGCUCUUAAUAUUCUCAUUUUACAGAUGAGAAAAUCGAGGCACGGCGAGGGGGUGAUUCACUCAGGGUCGUGCAGGAGUCAGGAGCUGGAAUUUGGGUCCAGGCGGGCUCGCUCCAGAGUCUGUAUUCUUAACUAUUACACUAUAUGUUUUCUCUAAAAACAAACCAAUCAAUAAACAAUUUGUUGCAUCCUUAUCUGGCUCAGGGCUCUGGGCCACACGCGCUCCAGGGGAUAACACAGUGAGACUUCCUGUCCGCGUCUACACGCCCGCCCUCUGAAGCCAGCAGGCACUCUGCUGCUCCACUUGUCUGCUGAGUGACCCCAGGCGAGUAACCCAAUCAUUCUGAUCGUCAAAAAUACCUGCCUCACAGGUUUGCUGUGAACGUGAAAGGAAACAAAUUUGAAGAAAAGUAUCCUAGACCACGUUGGCUGGUGGGCGAAAUCUGCUCUGCUGGGUUUUUUUAAACAGCUUUAUUGAGAUUUACUCAAAGUGCUUAAAAAACCACUUUAAGUGUUUUUCAGUAUAUUCACAGAUAUGUGCAACCAUCAUGACAAUCAAUUUUAGAGCAUUUUCAUCAUAUCAAAAAGAAACCAGCACCCUUGAGCUAUUUCUGUUCCCUGAACGUCUCCCCAUUUCCCCCUCUCUCCCCAAGCGACCACUAUUCUACUUCCUGUCUUGAUAGAUUUCUCUGUUCUGGAUGUUUCAUUCAUAUGAAUGGAAUCAUAUAGUACAUGGUCCUUUGUGUCUGACUUCUUUCACUUACCAUAAUGUUUUCCAGGUUUAUCCAUGCCACAGCGUGUAUCAAACCUCAUUCCUUUUUAUGGCUGAAUAGUAUUCCAUUGCAGGAAUAUACCACAUUUUGUUCAUCUGUUCCUCAGUUGAUGGACAUUUGGGUUGUUUCCACCUUCUGUUUGUGAUGAUGCGGACUGUUUUUGAAAAUAAAAUCGUAUUACAACACAGCCACAUGCAAGGCCUGGACUAGGGGGAAUCACCACUUCAUGACCAUCGCUAGGAGUCCUCCUGGCAUUUCUUCUUUCCUAUGCUUUUCGUUCACAAUCAAAGUAUGUUCUAGAAAUGAUCUGAGUCACUAAAUUCACACCAAGGUAUUAAUGACUCAUAAAACUUUCCCACGUUAACAGACUCGGGAGUGUUUGUCUUACAUGAAGUCUCGAAGAGCAUCUUUCUAAUAUUGGAAUGUACAAAGUGUGAGAAAAAGAGCGUGAGAGCACAGGAGCUGGGGGCGGACCUUGGUCCCGAGAGACACGCUUUCUCUGUGGAAUCACGCCGUGUGGGCACUGUGUGUGCACACAAAUGACCAGGCCUGGACAGGUGCCCACGAAACUAAACAAAAAUGGAACAAAAAUGGGAUGGAGAACUUCUGAAAUUGUUCUAUGACCUCCUACCUCAUGUUUUCAGGGCCUCUACUGAUUUCCUUAAUCUUUGGGUACUUAAUUUCCCUGGAUACUUGUCAUGGACGUUUGUUGUUGUGUUGCCUGUACAAAGGCCCUCCCUACUUGGGAAUAUUCCUGAUCCUGUCUAAGGAAGCUGG
Molecule: long non-coding RNA, 4139 nt
Filed under: Equus caballus (horse)
Lineage: Eukaryota; Metazoa; Chordata; Mammalia; Perissodactyla; Equidae
Description: lncRNA (ENSECAG00000045110.1)
Source: RNAcentral